This 1386-nucleotide unclassified non-coding RNA is filed under the name Hevea brasiliensis (rubber tree). Lineage: Eukaryota; Viridiplantae; Streptophyta; Magnoliopsida; Malpighiales; Euphorbiaceae. The record is from RNAcentral.
CUCAUGUUUAAAAAUUUAAUGGGUGAAAGAACUUAAUUUUUUUCAACUUAAAAAAAUAGAAAUCGUAUCAAAAAUAAUAUGAUUGUAUGAUAAUCAGAUCAAAUCUUUUCUUGCAAUUUUUUUUUUUUUUUAAACGAAGCCUUGGGAGAGUUAAGAGCAUUCGGUGUGUUGCUCUUUCCCUAAUCUUGUGGUUGGGAAUUCAGUUUGGCUAAUAUAAUCGUGAACUUUCCCUGAUCCUGUGGUUGGGAAUUCAUUUUGGCUAAUACAUUCAUGGACGCUGAUAUAAGGGAAAGACGGUUGUGAGGGGGGCAUUUUCCCGGAACCUUAUGACGAGGCCAGGGUUCUCACCUAUGCGCGGUAUGGCCUCAGGUUUUCUGUUAAUCGUCAUUUGCUGUCGGCUUGGAUCAAUGAUGAAACUAUGAAUGGCAUGCUGGAUUAGUAAUGUCUGUAUCAUAGAAAACGACGGCACAUGCGUGAAUAUCAUGUUUUACAUGAUACAGUGCUGCAGAUUAAUUGGAUAUCAAGUACAUAAACGAUGCACUGUGAAAACGUGUCAACGUGUCGUGGUAGGACCACGAUAAGCUUGUAAUCCGAUUUACCAAGUCAUUGGGAAAUGCCUUUCUGGCGAAAGAUGAACAAUAAUGGGGGCGCCAAAUAAAAAUGUGAAGUCCUUCUUUUUGGUUCUGACCCCUAUUGGUCUACCAUAGAAGUUAGACCGCUUUCAGGAAGCUCCACUUAACUUGUCUAUCACCUGUAGAAUAGUUGCUGUUUUAAAAAAUUUGAAGCUGGGCUGUCUCUAGGGGAAGUUGCAAAUCAAUUAGGAAUGAUUUCAAGAGCUUGAUAUAAUCCUUUGGCUUCUCUACAUUGAAGGCGUGCCCUGCAUUCUUGAUAACUGCCAGAUGGGCAUUGUCCCCCAAAUGCCUAAUGUCGAGCAGUUAACACCCACCCAAUUCAGAACUAAUUCUGCAGGAAACAAAACGCAUUUGUAUGUUCAUGUGUUCGAGACUAAUACUAACCUUUUUAAUCUGUGACCCAAUUCCAGUGGAAAAAUUCGAUCAUUUUCGCCCCAGACUAUCAACGUUGGCUGCAGGACAAACGAAAGCAGUUGGUUAAUUCAUCUUAGCUAUGCCCCCAGGUUCGGUAGAAAGAAUUGAACAAAAAGGGUUGAACCUGGGUGAUCUUGGGAAUGUUCGAAAGCUUUCUGUCUUUAGGAAUAGUUCGGAUCAAUUCUUUUUUCUCUUCCACAUAAUCUCUGCACAUUGCGUCAAUGAAAUCGAUGAAGAAGCAAUCGGGGAUCAAUCCCACAGGAGGAGGCCUUAAAAACGUAUAACCCACCAACUCUCUCAGCUUAUCUGGUUUCAAUGGCACCAAAAUACUUGCAGCCUC